CUAUUUGAGAGAGUAAGACUGAUAGUUUCAUCUCCAGCAGAAACCAUGAAUAAGUCUUCAUUUUUGCCUCUUCUCCUUUUGCUUGCUGUUAUAAUUUCAAGUGGUAGCGUGAUGGGAGAAGUUGGGGAGUGCAUAUUCAAUUAUCAAAUUCCCCACUGCACACCUGCCGAAUGUCACAAGCUCUGUAGUCAAUACUAUUCCAAAUUUCCAGGAGUAAAAUCACACUGCCCCAGUAAUACUGGUUGCACCUGCAAUAUAUGUAGUGGAUGAUUGUGCUUCACCAUUCUGUGACAUGUAAUGCCUGGAUGAGCAUUCUAGUGUCUUGCAAUAAAUCAUGAGACUAGAUCUGUGAUAUCUUUCCAAUAAGGGAAUAAAUAAAUAUGAUUUCUGAAA
This is a long non-coding RNA of Macadamia integrifolia, 393 nucleotides long. RefSeq lists it as uncharacterized. The transcript is spliced from 2 exons. The record is from RefSeq and is a predicted model, not a curated record. NCBI's taxonomy places the organism in Eukaryota, Viridiplantae, Streptophyta, Magnoliopsida, Proteales, Proteaceae.